AACUCAAAGGAAUUGACGGGGGCCCGCACAAGCGGCGGAGCAUGCGGAUUAAUUCGAUGCAACGCGAAGAACCUUACCAAGGCUUGACAUGUUCCAGACCGCCUCAGAGAUGGGGUUUCCCUUCGGGGCUGGUUCACAGGUGGUGCAUGGUUGUCGUCAGCUCGUGACGAGAGAUGUUGGGUUAAGUCCCGCAACGAGCGCAACCCUCGUUCCAUGUUGCCAGCACGUAAAGGUGGGGACUCAUGGGAGACUGCCGGGGUCAACUCGGAGGAAGGUGGGGAUGACGUCAAAUCAUCAUGCCCCUUAUGUCUUGGGCUUCACGCAUGCUACAAUGGCCGGUACAAUGGGUUGCGAUACUGUGAGGUGGAGCUAAUCCCUAAAAGCCGGUCUCAGUUCGGAUUGGGGUCUGCAACUCGACCCCAUGAAGUCGGAGUCGCUAGUAAUCGCAGAUCAGCAACGCUGCUGUGUGU
RNAcentral lists this ribosomal RNA (470 nucleotides) under Lacinutrix sp. BACT-I. RNAcentral's name for it is "bacterial SSU rRNA". It matches the Rfam family "Bacterial small subunit ribosomal RNA", at positions 898 to 1367 of the family's 1533-position model. Lineage: Bacteria; Pseudomonadati; Bacteroidota; Flavobacteriia; Flavobacteriales; Flavobacteriaceae. The record is from RNAcentral.